UACGUAGGGUGCGAGCGUUAAUCGGAAUUACUGGGCGUAAAGCGUGCGCAGGCGGUUGUGCAAGACAGAUGUGAAAUCCCCGGGCUCAACCUGGGAGCUGCAUUUGUGACUGCACGGCUGGAGUGCGGCAGAGGGGGAUGGAAUUCCGCGUGUAGCAGUGAAAUGCGUAGAUAUGCGGAGGAACACCGAUGGCGAAGGCAGCCCCCUGGGUCGACACUGACGCUCAGGCACGAAAGCGUGGGGAGCAAACAGG
Molecule: ribosomal RNA, 253 nt
Filed under: uncultured bacterium
Lineage: Bacteria
Description: partial 16S ribosomal RNA
Rfam family: Bacterial small subunit ribosomal RNA
Source: RNAcentral